Beta vulgaris subsp. vulgaris (sugar beet) is the source of this 1450-nucleotide long non-coding RNA. RefSeq lists it as uncharacterized. The record is from RefSeq and is a predicted model, not a curated record. NCBI's taxonomy places the organism in Eukaryota, Viridiplantae, Streptophyta, Magnoliopsida, Caryophyllales, Amaranthaceae. The transcript has 3 exons.
AUAAAUAGCUGCUUAUGGGUUGUGAUGAAGGAGGUGAAAAAAGCAGCCCAUCUAUGGUUUAGUUAGUGGAAGAUGGGUAGAUAGAUCUAUCAACAACCAAUGAAGAAUCAUUGAAUUUUGGUGGCCAUUGAAGUCACUUUGAGGAAAGCUUGUCAAAGUUGGUUAAUGGAUAGUGACUGAAUGUCAAAUUGUGCAACUAUUUAAAACGGAGGAAGUAUGACGCUUUUGCUUGUGUUCUGAGGUCAAGUAGAACGAUUGGUCGUGGAUGGGAUGGAUGACCUGAUCAUUGAAAACAUACAAGUUAUUUCUUUCCAAAACCUCCUUAUUGAUGUUGGUAAAUAUAACGCAGAUUUGGUGUUGAAUUCAGUGAGAUUUAAAGUUUUAUGAUUGCUAUGCUCAGAAAGGAACACGAAGCUCAAGUUUUAAAAGAAUUACAAAGUUUUGGCUUAACCAUUACCUGUUCUACAGGAGAACAAUACAUAUGUCGAAAUUCCUUAGAAUGUUUCCGCAAAUAAUCUUCCAACUUGGUUACAUCUUCUCUUCUAAAUAUGUCCCAAAGAGCAGCACCCUUUUCUGUUGAAACACUUGGCGUUAGAUCGAGGUCCUCUUUGUAAUUUACCACUUGUAAGCUCUGCAGUUCUGCUCGAUCUUGAGCUUUGUGUUUCUUUUUGAGCAUGUCAAUCGCCAUCAAUUGAUCCUCACUUAACGAAACAUCAGCAGUAUGCAUUAAGAUGUUUACCUGCAUCAAUGAAAUGGAUUUAGGAAAUGUCAAGAAUCAAGUCGAACAUCCAUAUGAGAUGUACCAGCCAACCUUGAGUUCAUCCAAACCAACAACAUAAAGGUGAUCAAGGGACCUCCUAAUGUUAAGGUUAAGAUUUAUUUUGCUUUCAUUUUAUGUCAACUUCUGCAGGAUUAUAAGUUGGAUCUUGAAUCUGGAAUUUACCCUAAAGAUUAAGUAUAUUGUGCAUAUUGUGCUUUGUUUCAUAUUAGAAAAUUGAAAAAAAUAUGACAUACCGCAUCUGACAUGUCACAAUGAAGCUUAGUCACAGAAUCUCCUCGUCCGAGCUCUUGAGUAGUCCCGUAAGCAAUGUAAGUCUUUGGUCCCAAAUCUGGUUUGAGGACGUUGGAAGGCAAAAGAGUAGCAAGGUUGAGGAUACCACCAGUAGGAUCUGUAUACUCUUGAAAGGGCAAAGCAGUGAUAAACUCAUCACAGUGUCUCGGCAAAAGAUUUUCAAACUUGUCAGAUGGAGGCCAGUCUUUUAGCUUCAACAUCAUAGGCCAGAAAUUGGUGCAUGCUCUACCUUGUUUAUAUCCCUUGAAAAAAUCCCUAGUACUGAUUUCUACCUGUAUGCAUUUCAAUUUCAGUUAGCAAUUAUGCAAGAGUCUAAUUCAUAACAUUAUAGAAGGCUAAUCCUCUCAGAAAGACACUAAUGGCACAUUUCCACAUGCA